GAUAACUAAGACCGGGAGCACCAGUACUGGCACAAUACUGUGACUGCAAUCCUUCACGGACUUCCGCUGUGCACUUCUUAGAUCCUAUACGCUAUGAAAGCUUGGUGGAAACUACCAAUUUUUCUCUCUCCCUCUCUCUUGCAGGGGGUCAGUAGAGAUGAUCUUGAUAUGGUCAAUAAUGAGUCCUACGACAGUCGGGUCUAACUGACUAGGAUGGUUCAGGACUUUCAUCCGUCGAAGGACUAAGAGCGUGGCAGCAUUCCUUACAACAACAAAGUAUUAUUAUUCAAUACGGCCAUCGACCAAAGUUCACAGUCAGAUUAGGCUUAAUAUGAAAUCCGAGGUGUCAAAGGCAAACAUUCGAGAAAGAAGUGUUGAGAUGAUCUCAUCGUCUUCCAAGCAGCUUAAUCAACUGGCAUCGGGUAAACUAUUCAAUAUUCAAACUAUUAAAAAUUUCAAUAUCUUAUUUUUACGAGGUUGUCUGACGCUGAAAAUUGAUCAAUAGAUCUGGCAUUGAGACGAUUUCUGAAAUUUGAUUUUGAAGAAGCUCUAUGCUAUGCGAGCUUCUGAAACUAUUUAUGGAGUGUCUUAAUUGUUUUCGAUUGCUAAAUUACUACUUGAAAGCGCUUGUAAUCAAGUAACCAUAUAGAUUUUUUUAAUAAUAAUAAUAAGUUUAGUUAAAAUAUUUUUAUGCUCAUGGACUUACCUGAACUGAUUUCGUUUCUCGAUCAAGUCAGCGACACGUGUGCGCCGCAAGGGUGCUGGCGAGGCGCCAGGCGAGACCUGCUGUUGAUUAAGCGACGCGCCCAUCAUUGUUAAUGUUGCCGAAGACUCGGCUGCUGCCGCGGCCGCCGCUGCUGCUUGCUCGGCCACCAAAGCACGCGCCAUAAUCAGAUCUUCCUCCUUCAUUGUCGUUAAACUAGUGUGUAGAUAUUUGCUGAUAAUUAGCGACGCUAAGCGGGCGUGUGAAGUUAUAUUGGAAAGCCGUACACGCGAAGCUGUUUGUUUAGUGAAAUCUAAAUUAGCGCAAGUGUUUUAAGAUUGACAACACAGAACGGAUUUCCAUACACGACUUCGGUAUACGAAAUAGGUAGCACACAAUCGAGGAGAUAUCACAACUGCACGUAGUUGAAGUCGAAUUUGUACUGAUGCGUUUGCUGCAGCAAGCUGUUGAGUUUAACACCAAAAUUGUAGAAUUUUGUAGCAACAGCGAGAACAACAGCGACAGCAGCAACAAUAGCAACAACAACAGCGGCAGCAGCAGCAAAAAACAACAGCAACAAUACUGACAACAACAACAAUGACAGCAACUGCGUUAACGCCAGCAGCGGCUGUGGCAACAACACACAGCCACAUUGAUCAUAACAACAAUGCCUUCUAGAGAUCGCUUAGAUACAUAUAGCCAUAUGUAUAUGUAAGAAUUUACCUUAUAUACAUAUAUAUGUAGAUAUAUAACUAUAAACACAGAAAACCACACUGAAAAAUAUAUGCAUACGCUCG
Molecule: non-coding RNA, 1500 nt
Organism: Bactrocera oleae (olive fruit fly)
Lineage: Eukaryota; Metazoa; Arthropoda; Insecta; Diptera; Tephritidae
Source: RefSeq, a predicted model, not a curated record